UUGACCUCGGAUCAGGUAGGGAUACCCGCUGAACUUAAGCAUAUCAAUAAGCGGAGGAAAAGAAACCAACAGGGAUUGCUCUAGUAACGGCGAGUGAAGCAGCAAUAGCUCAAAUUUGAAAUCUGGCGUCUUCGGCGUCCGAGUUGUAAUUUGUAGAGGAUGCUUCUGGGCAGCCACCGACCUAAGUUCCUUGGAACAGGACGUCAUAGAGGGUGAGAAUCCCGUAUGCGGUCGGAAAGGCACCCUACACGUAGCUCCUUCGACGAGUCGAGUUGUUUGGGAAUGCAGCUCUAAAUGGGAGGUAAAUUUCUUCUAAAGCUAAAUAUUGGCCAGAGACCGAUAGCGCACAAGUAGAGUGAUCGAAAGAUGAAAAGCACUUUGGAAAGAGAGUUAAAAAGCACGUGAAAUUGUUGAAAGGGAAGGGAUUGCAACCAGACUUGCUCGCGGUGUUCCGCCGGUCUUCUGACCGGUCUACUCGCCGCGUUGCAGGCCAGCAUCGUCUGGUGCCGCUGGAUAAGACUUGAGGAAUGUAGCUCCCUCGGGAGUGUUAUAGCCUCUUGUGAUGCAGCGAGCGCCGGGCGAGGUCCGCGCUUCGGCUAGGAUGCUGG
This 608-nucleotide ribosomal RNA is filed under the name Cladosporium sphaerospermum. RNAcentral describes it as "eukaryotic LSU rRNA". It matches the Rfam family "Eukaryotic large subunit ribosomal RNA", at positions 1 to 629 of the family's 3401-position model. The record is from RNAcentral. Lineage: Eukaryota; Fungi; Ascomycota; Dothideomycetes; Cladosporiales; Cladosporiaceae.